Molecule: long non-coding RNA, 613 nt
Filed under: Lathyrus oleraceus (garden pea)
Lineage: Eukaryota; Viridiplantae; Streptophyta; Magnoliopsida; Fabales; Fabaceae
Description: Pisum sativum (pea) long non-coding RNA (PSAT_LNC017677)
Source: RNAcentral
AAAAGCCAAACACUAAAUAUCAGCAUGAGAGUUCAGCCAGGUAUGACUUUAUCACUCUGAUUUUGCGCAUGUCUUGUUGACACGUCACAGCAUGACAACACACACUGAGGUAAGUUGUUUGUUUAGCCAGGGCCUUUCUAACCAUCCCUAUCUGUAUGUUUCCCUUCAUGAACCCCGUUGAGCCUUAGCCAUUUUAUUCAUCAUAAACCCCCUGUUAACUAUUAAGCAUUUAUUCAUCAUAAACCCCAUGUUAACUAUUAAUCAUUCAUUUUUUUCAUAACUCGGUAUGAUUGUGUGAAUUGCAAGAUGUGCAAUAAAACUAAGUUUGGGGUGGAAAUCUUGAAAGAGAAGGCAAGUGCAUAAUAAGAGAUCAUACAAAAAGAGAAAUAGUAUGUAUGUUCCUUAAAAAGAAAAAAAAAGAAAAAAAAGAAAAACAAAAGAGAAAAAUGCACUUGUCGAGACUUAAGACUCUAGCACAUAUAAAAUGCUCGAAAAAUUUGAGUAGAAAAAGAGUGAAAUUAACCCCUAGAGUAUACGUGAUGCACGAGAAAAAGAGAAAUAAAAAUCACACAACAUGACUACCAAGUUCAAAACCCUUUGUUAUCCAUUUUUU